RNAcentral lists this unclassified non-coding RNA (176 nucleotides) under uncultured Metarhizium. RNAcentral describes it as "sequence contains ITS2". The record is from RNAcentral. Lineage: Eukaryota; Fungi; Ascomycota; Sordariomycetes; Hypocreales; Clavicipitaceae.
CGCCCCUCAAGUCCCCCGUGGACUUGGUGUUGGGGAUCGGCGAGCGCUGUCUUUUCAGCACGCCGUCCCCCAAAUUUAUUGGCGGUCUCGCCGUGGCCAUCCUCUGCGCAGUAGUAAAACACUCGCAACGGGAGCCCGGUGAGGUCCACUGCCGUAAAACCCCCAACUUUUUACAG